This 56-nucleotide ribosomal RNA is filed under the name Saitozyma flava. RNAcentral's name for it is "partial 28S ribosomal RNA". The record is from RNAcentral. Lineage: Eukaryota; Fungi; Basidiomycota; Tremellomycetes; Tremellales; Trimorphomycetaceae.
UCUUUUGACUCUGGCCUCAAAUCAGGUUAGGACUACCCGCUGAACUUAAGCAUAUC